GACGAACGCUGGCGGCGUGCUUAACACAUGCAAGUCGAACGGAAAGGCCCUGCUUUUGUGGGGUGCUCGAGUGGCGAACGGGUGAGUAACACGUGAGUAACCUGCCCUUGACUUUGGGAUAACUUCAGGAAACUGGGGCUAAUACCGGAUAGGAGCUACUGCUGCAUGGUGGGGGUUGGAAAGUUUAGGCGGUUGGGGAUGGACUCGCGGCUUAUCAGCUUGUUGGUGGGGUAGUGGCUUACCAAGGCUUUGACGGGUAGCCGGGCUGGUAGGAUGACCGGCCACGUUGGGACUGGGAUGCGGCCCAGACUCCUACGGGAGGCAGCAGUGGGGAAUAUUGCACAAUGGGCUGAAGCCUAAUGCAGCAACGCCGCGUGCGGGAUGACGGCAUUCGGGUUGUAUACCGCUUUCGCCUGUGACGAAGCGUGAGUGACGGUAAUGGGUAAAGAAGCACCGGCUAACUACGUG
RNAcentral lists this ribosomal RNA (468 nucleotides) under uncultured bacterium. RNAcentral's name for it is "partial 16S ribosomal RNA". It matches the Rfam family "Bacterial small subunit ribosomal RNA", at positions 28 to 507 of the family's 1533-position model. The record is from RNAcentral.